UGAUAAUUAGUUUAAAUAAAACAAAUGAUUUCGACUCAUUAGAUUGUGGUCAUCCCCAUAAUUAUCAA
This 68-nucleotide transfer RNA is filed under the name Scaptochirus moschatus (short-faced mole). RNAcentral describes it as "tRNA-Arg". It matches the Rfam family "tRNA". From Rfam's summary of the family: Transfer RNA (tRNA) molecules are approximately 80 nucleotides in length. The record is from RNAcentral. Lineage: Eukaryota; Metazoa; Chordata; Mammalia; Eulipotyphla; Talpidae.